UCCCGCCGAUCAGAUAACCUCUCCAGUGGGAGCUGAGACAGUUCAGCACCUUGCGAGAAAAAGUCCAUUUUCAGAAUCAGGGCCCAAAUGACGCCACUAAAGCCAAAUUCACCCCCUGCUGCAGGUGGGAGUCAAAGGCACUCAGUAGCUCAUCAGCCUGGCCUUUGUAGUUUAUUGAGCCGCUGUGCAAACUUCAGAGAUAUUAUUUUAUAUGACCUUGGAUCUAUUCAACGCUGAAUACAGUGUUUUUCUUCUGAAGACCCGGGCUGCAUUUUGUGUAAGAUAUGUACGUUCCGGAGGAAACAGUAAACAUGGCCGUGACCUGCUGAGCUCAGAUUUCUUCAUCAAAUAUCCACCAUUCCCCAAGAUAGGCCUGAGCAUGAAGUUUGAAUCCAGGCGAAUUGGUUUGGCCCACUGCAAAGCUAGGAAGAAGCUGCAACGUUCAAAUCCAGCUCUCCAUGUCGUUGACGAACGGUGCAGCUCUCCUCGUUUAUGCAGGGUGGUGUACUGCAAGAAAGGGUUAAAAUAAUCUUGGCAAAAAUCAGCUGUCUUUUAACCUUGUUGCAAAAUCUAGACAACCCAAGGAUGUUUGCUUUUCUCCCUGAAGGUUAAGUUGUCCUAACAGGUGCUAAUUUUGUGUUUUCUUAUGGAGAUCUGUCCAUAUUAGAAGCAACUGUGUGCAAACAAAAAAGCCAAUUAGAGUGCAAGGGUAUUUUUCAUCCUUCCUAUUUCCAUGUAGUCCCCAGCUAUCUCUAUCAGUCAUGUUAAGCCAUAGACUUAUCCUUUCUUGAGAAUUGGUAGACUUGUGCCCUCUUUGGGGAAAAUUGCUAUUCUAAUGUCAUGGGAAAAAUAUUGUCCUGGGGAAGUGGAUGAUCCACGUUAACUGGGAUUUGUCAUCAGCUUUGGCAACCUACGUAGCAAGGGUUGAGAUUAAUGGAGCCAAAGACUUUAAGCAAAUAUUGUUGGCGUGCUGUUAAACUGUCAAGAGAGCAAGAAAAAAAGCUCACUCUGCAACCCCCAAAUAAAGAUUUGUAUUCACUGAGCA
Molecule: long non-coding RNA, 1045 nt
Filed under: Chrysemys picta bellii (western painted turtle)
Lineage: Eukaryota; Metazoa; Chordata; Testudines; Emydidae
Description: lncRNA (ENSCPBG00000009974.1)
Source: RNAcentral